AAUGAACGUUGGCGGCGUGGAUUAGGCAUGCAAGUCGAGCGUGUACCCCGCAAGGGGAAAGCGGCAAACGGGGUAGGAACGCGUAGGUCACGUACCCUUCGGCCGGGGAUAGCCACGGGAAACUGUGGGUAAUACCCGAUGACGCCGAGAGGCCAAAGGUGUGAUUCCGCCGGGGGAGCGGCCUGCGUAGUAUUAGCUAGUUGGUGAGGUAAUGGCUCACCAAGGCGAAGAUGCUUAGGGGGUGUGAGAGCAUGACCCCCACCACUGGGACGUGAGAUACUGCCCACGACACCUACGGGUGGCAGCCUGAGAGCCAAGGCACACAGGGGAUAGG
Molecule: ribosomal RNA, 334 nt
Filed under: uncultured Planctomycetota bacterium
Lineage: Bacteria; Pseudomonadati; Planctomycetota
Description: bacterial SSU rRNA
Rfam family: Bacterial small subunit ribosomal RNA
Source: RNAcentral